RNAcentral lists this ribosomal RNA (278 nucleotides) under uncultured prokaryote. Its description in RNAcentral is "partial 16S ribosomal RNA". It matches the Rfam family "Bacterial small subunit ribosomal RNA", at positions 524 to 800 of the family's 1533-position model. The record is from RNAcentral.
UACGUAGGGGGCGAGCGUUGUCCGGAAUUACUAGGCGUAAGGGGCAGGCAGGCGGAUCCAUAGGUUUAUCGUUUAAGGCGUCGGCUUAACCGGCGUAGGGCGGUAGAUACUGUGGAUCUGGAAUGCGGUUGGGGAAGACAGAAUUCCUGGUGUAGCGGUGGAAUGCGCAGAGAUCAGGAGGAAUACCGAAGGCGAAGGCAGUCUUCCAAGCCGUUAUUGACGCUCAACUGCGAAGGUGUGGGUAUCAAACAGGAUUAGAUACCCGUGUAGUACCUGAG